GAAGAGGGGUAAUCCACUCUCCCCAAGAAGAAUAAGAUUCCAAUAUUGUAACAGAAGAAGUAUCAGUUUAGAGGAGGGUAAUCCGCAACCUCUAAAAAAUGCUAGUAUACCUUCAAGUAGAGGGGUAAUCCACACUCUACUAAGAAAGAACUAGCUCUGAUAUCUCAAGUUAGUGUAGUCUCGACAAACUGUCUCGGACACAAAAUAUAGACUUGAAAUCUAACAAGAAGUUCAAGAAGAAGUGGCAGAACUAGAUUAAACAGAUGAGUACAAGAACAACACCAGAAAGGUGAGCUAGAAC
RNAcentral lists this long non-coding RNA (301 nucleotides) under Physcomitrium patens. Its description in RNAcentral is "long non-coding RNA (PPAT_LNC010253)". Lineage: Eukaryota; Viridiplantae; Streptophyta; Bryopsida; Funariales; Funariaceae. The record is from RNAcentral.